RNAcentral lists this ribosomal RNA (498 nucleotides) under uncultured bacterium. RNAcentral's name for it is "bacterial SSU rRNA". It matches the Rfam family "Bacterial small subunit ribosomal RNA", at positions 1012 to 1509 of the family's 1533-position model. The record is from RNAcentral.
GGGUCGGUUCGGCCGGAUUUCACACAGGUGUUGCAUGGCUGUCGUCAGCUCGUGUCGUGAGAUGUUGGGUUAAGUCCCGCAACGAGCGUAACCCUCAUCCUUAGUUGCAUCAGGUAAUGCUGAGCACUUUAAGGAAACUGCUAGUGAUAAACUGGAGGAAGGUGGGGAUGAUGUCAAGUCAUCAUGGCCCUUAUGGAGUGGGCUACACACGUGCUACAAUGGUGGCUACAAUGGGCUGCAAAGUCGCGAGGCCAAGCUAAUCCCUUAAAAGCCAUCUCAGUUCGGAUUGUACUCUGCAACUCGAGUGCAUGAAGUUGGAAUCGCUAGUAAUCGUGGAUCAGCAUGCCACGGUGAAUACGUUCUCGGGUCUUGUACACACUGCCCGUCACGCCAUGGGAAUUGGUUUCACUCGAAGCUAAUGACCUAACCGCAAGGAGGGAGUUAUUUAAAGUGGGAUCAGUGACUGGGGUGAAGUCGUAACAAGGUAGGCGUAGUGCU